Ruditapes philippinarum (Manila clam) is the source of this 323-nucleotide long non-coding RNA. RefSeq lists it as uncharacterized. The record is from RefSeq and is a predicted model, not a curated record. NCBI's taxonomy places the organism in Eukaryota, Metazoa, Mollusca, Bivalvia, Venerida, Veneridae. The transcript is spliced from 3 exons.
CUUUGCUUUGUUAAAAUCUUUGUAACAUAAACAUUCUUCCCUAAGAAUUCGUUUAAAAUACAACUUAAGUUAUAAAAUGUGCACUUGAAAAUAAUUACGAUUUAUAAAGCUUGACAUUAUUUACUUUGGAAAGAAAAUAAGAUGAUAUCAAGUUAUGCAAUCAUGUGCUUGUUCAUAAUUUAUUCCGAACAGCCUUUUAUCAUUGACAGUAUGACAGUUGAUAAUUAUCAUAACUAUGAUAAUUUUGAUCUACAUAUAUGCAAAGAGCCUGCUUCUAUAUCAAAUGGCGCUGUUACGGUUAGGAAGGGUAUUGCAGUGUAUUC